This 253-nucleotide ribosomal RNA is filed under the name uncultured bacterium. RNAcentral's name for it is "partial 16S ribosomal RNA". It matches the Rfam family "Bacterial small subunit ribosomal RNA", at positions 524 to 776 of the family's 1533-position model. The record is from RNAcentral.
UACGUAGGGUGCGAGCGUUAAUCGGAAUUACUGGGCGUAAAGCGUGCGCAGGCGGUUUUGUAAGCCAGAUGUGAAAUCCCCGGGCUUAACCUGGGAAUGGCAUUUGGGACUGCAAGGCUCGAGUGCGGCAGAGGAGACUGGAAUUCCUGGUGUAGCAGUGAAAUGCGUAGAUAUCAGGAGGAACACCGAUGGCGAAGGCAGGUCUCUGGGCCACUACUGACGCUGAGAAGCGAAAGCGUGGGGAGCGAACAGG